Molecule: transfer RNA, 70 nt
Filed under: Actinocatenispora comari
Lineage: Bacteria; Bacillati; Actinomycetota; Actinomycetes; Micromonosporales; Micromonosporaceae
Description: tRNA-Leu
Source: RNAcentral
GCACUAUCUGGCACGGGUGUCGCGGCUCUUAAUCAGCGGGUUCGGGGUUCGAGUCCCUGACGGCGCACCA